GCUACGGCCAUACCAGCCUGGGUACGCCCGAUCUCGUCUGAUCUCGGAAGCUAAGCAGGGUCGGGCCUGGUUAGUACCUGGAUGGGAGACCGCCUGGGAAUACCAGGUGCUGUAAGCA
RNAcentral lists this ribosomal RNA (118 nucleotides) under Salmo salar (Atlantic salmon). Lineage: Eukaryota; Metazoa; Chordata; Actinopteri; Salmoniformes; Salmonidae. The record is from RNAcentral.